CUGUGCAAAGGUAGCAUAAUCAUUAGCUUUUUAAUUGAAGGCUUGUAUGAAGGGUCUGACAAAGAAAAAGCUGUCUUUAAUUUUAUUUUUGAAUUUAACUUUUAAGUGAAAAGGCUUAAAUAAAUUUAAGGGACGAUAAGACCCUAUAAAUCUUUAUAUUAUAUUAUUAUCUUGAAUUUUAAUAAUUUGUCUAGAUUAAUAAGUAAAAUAAUAAAUAUUUUGUUGGGGUGACAAGAAUAUAAAAAAACUGUUCUUAAAUAAAACAAAGUUAUUUGUUUAAAAAUUUAUAGAUCCUUUUUAAAGAUUAAGAGAUUAAGUUACUUUAGGGAUAACAGCGUUAUUUUUUUUUGAGAGUUCUUAUCGAAAAAAAAGUUUGCGACCUCGAUGUUGAAUUAAAAAUUCUCUACGGUGAAGAAGUUGUAGGAGAAAGUCUGUUCGACUUUUGAAAUUUU
RNAcentral lists this ribosomal RNA (452 nucleotides) under Paramunida salai. RNAcentral's name for it is "partial 16S ribosomal RNA". It matches the Rfam family "Bacterial large subunit ribosomal RNA", at positions 1946 to 2597 of the family's 2925-position model. The record is from RNAcentral. Lineage: Eukaryota; Metazoa; Arthropoda; Malacostraca; Decapoda; Munididae.